GUCCACGCCCUAAACGAUGUCAACUGGUUGUUGGGUGGGUAACCACUUAGUAACGAAGCUAACGCGUGAAGUUGACCGCCUGGGGAGUACGGUCGCAAGAUUAAAACUCAAAGGAAUUGACGGGGACCCGCACAAGCGGUGGAUGAUGUGGUUUAAUUCGAUGCAACGCGAAAACCUUACCUACACUUGACAUGCCAGAAAUCCCGCAGAGAUGUGGGAGUGCCGCAAGGAAUCUGGGCACAGGUGCUGCAUGGCUGUCGU
This 261-nucleotide ribosomal RNA is filed under the name uncultured bacterium. RNAcentral's name for it is "partial 16S ribosomal RNA". It matches the Rfam family "Bacterial small subunit ribosomal RNA", at positions 793 to 1055 of the family's 1533-position model. The record is from RNAcentral.